GAUGAACGCUAGCGGCAGGCUUAAUACAUGCAAGUCGAGGGGCAGCACGGGUAGCAAUACCUGGUGGCGACCGGCAAACGGGCGCGGAACACGUACGCAACCUUCCCAUAACUGGUGAAUAGCCCUCCGAAAGGAGGAUUAAUACACCGUAACUUAACGAAGUGGCAUCACUUUGUUAAUAUAGGCUUCGGCCGGUUUUGGAUGGGCGUGCGCCUGAUUAGGUAGUUGGCGGGGUAACGGCCCACCAAGCCUGCGAUCAGUAACUGGUGUGAGAGCACGACCAGUCACACGGGCACUGAGACACGGGCCCGACUCCUACGGGAGGCAGCAGUAAGGAAUAUUGGUCAAUGGACGAAAGUCUGAACCAGCCAUGCCGCGUGAAGGAUUAAGGCCCUCUGGGUUGUAAACUUCUUUUAUCUGGGACGAAAAAAGGGUAUUCUUACUCACUUGACGGUACCAGAGGAAUAAGCACCGGCUAACUCCGUGCCAGCAGCCGCGGUAAAGUAGACGU
RNAcentral lists this ribosomal RNA (511 nucleotides) under uncultured bacterium. RNAcentral describes it as "bacterial SSU rRNA". It matches the Rfam family "Bacterial small subunit ribosomal RNA", at positions 28 to 532 of the family's 1533-position model. The record is from RNAcentral.